AUGCUUAACACAUGCAAGUCGAACGGCAGCAGCUCUGCUUGCAGAGGCUGGCGAGUGGCGAACGGGUGAGUAACACGUAGGAAUCUGCCCUAGAGUGGGGGACAACUCCGCGAAAGCGGAGCUAAUACCGCAUAUCUCUUCGGAGUAAAGCAGGGGAUCUUCGGACCUUGCGCUUUAGGAUGAGCCUGCGUCAGAUUAGCUUGUUGGUGAGGUAACGGCUCACCAAGGCGACGAUCUGUAGCUGGUCUGAGAGGACGAUCAGCCACAUUGGGACUGAGACACGGCCCAAACUCCUACGGGAGGCAGCAGUGGGGAAUAUUGGACAAUGGGCGCAAGCCUGAUCCAGCAAUGCCGCGUGUGUGAAGAAGGCCUGCGGGUUGUAAAGCACUUUCAGUAGGGAGGAAAUGCUCAAGGUUAAUACCCUUGAGAGUUGACGUUACCUACAGAAGAAGCACCGGCUAACUCUGUG
Molecule: ribosomal RNA, 469 nt
Filed under: uncultured bacterium
Lineage: Bacteria
Description: bacterial SSU rRNA
Rfam family: Bacterial small subunit ribosomal RNA
Source: RNAcentral